RNAcentral lists this small RNA (16 nucleotides) under Arabidopsis thaliana (thale cress). Its description in RNAcentral is "ATSL245430". The record is from RNAcentral. Lineage: Eukaryota; Viridiplantae; Streptophyta; Magnoliopsida; Brassicales; Brassicaceae.
UUCUUUCUCUGUUUAU